RNAcentral lists this ribosomal RNA (752 nucleotides) under Pireneitega spinivulva. RNAcentral's name for it is "SSU rRNA". It matches the Rfam family "Eukaryotic small subunit ribosomal RNA", at positions 172 to 922 of the family's 1831-position model. Lineage: Eukaryota; Metazoa; Arthropoda; Arachnida; Araneae; Agelenidae. The record is from RNAcentral. RNAcentral also lists the same sequence under 1 other name.
UGCAGCAGAGCUCCGACCUUCGGGGACGAGCGCUUUUAUUAGACCAAAACCAAUCGGACCUCGUGUCCGUCCUUUGUGGUGACUCUGUAUAACUUUGGGCUGAUCGCACGGGCCUGUCCCGGCGACGUAUCUUUCAAGUGUCUGCCUUAUCAACUUUCGAUGGUAGGUUACGCGCCUACCAUGGUCGUAACGGGUAACGGGGAAUCAGGGUUCGAUUCCGGAGAGGGAGCCUGAGAAACGGCUACCACAUCCAAGGAAGGCAGCAGGCGCGCAAAUUACCCACUCCCAGAACGGGGAGGUAGUGACGAAAAAUAACAAUACGGGACUCUUUUGAGACCCCGUAAUUGGAAUGAGUACACUCUAAAUCCUUUAACGAGGAUCCAUUGGAGGGUAAGUCUGGUGCCAGCAACCGCGGUAAUUCCAGCUCCAAUAGCGUAUAUUAAAGUUGUUGCGGUUAAAAAGCUCGUAGUUGGAUCUCAGUUCCAGACGGGUGGUCCGCCUACCGGUGGUUACUGCCUGUUCUGAACAGUCAGCCGGUUUCUCUUGAUGAUCUUCACCGGUUGUCUUGGGUGACCGGCAAGUUUACUUUGAAAAAAUUAGAGUGCUCAAAGCAGGCGUGACGCCUGAAUAAUGGUGCAUGGAAUAAUGGAAUAGGACCUCGGUUCUAUUUUGUUGGUUUUCGGAACACGAGGUAAUGAUUAAGAGGGACAGACGGGGGCAUUCGUAUUGCGACGCUAGAGGUGAAAUUCUUG